GAGGAGAGCAUAUAUUGACCUGCUAAGCCAACACCCCAGAAUUAAACAAACUGGCC
RNAcentral lists this transfer RNA (56 nucleotides) under Geckolepis sp. EEG-2007-1. RNAcentral's name for it is "tRNA-Ser". The record is from RNAcentral. Lineage: Eukaryota; Metazoa; Chordata; Lepidosauria; Squamata; Gekkonidae. RNAcentral also lists the same sequence under 1 other name.